UACGUAGGGUGCAAGCGUUGUCCGGAAUUAUUGGGCGUAAAGAGCUCGUAGGCGGUCUGUCACGUCGGAUGUGAAAACUCGGGGCUCAACCCCGAGCCUGCAUACGAUACGGGCAGACUUGAGUUCGGCAGGGGAGACUGGAAUUCCUGGUGUAGCGGUGAAAUGCGCAGAUAUCGGGAAGAACACCCGUGGCUAAGGCGGCUCUCUAGUACGGUACUGACGCUGAGACGCGAAAGCGUGGGGAGCGAACAGG
This 253-nucleotide ribosomal RNA is filed under the name uncultured bacterium. Its description in RNAcentral is "partial 16S ribosomal RNA". It matches the Rfam family "Bacterial small subunit ribosomal RNA", at positions 524 to 776 of the family's 1533-position model. The record is from RNAcentral.